This 301-nucleotide ribosomal RNA is filed under the name uncultured bacterium. RNAcentral describes it as "partial 16S ribosomal RNA". It matches the Rfam family "Bacterial small subunit ribosomal RNA", at positions 509 to 807 of the family's 1533-position model. The record is from RNAcentral.
CAGCCGCCACGGGAAUACGGAGGGAGCUAGCGUUGUUCGGAAUUACUGGGCGUAAAGCGCACGUAGGCGGUUAUUCAAGUCAGAGGUGAAAGCCCGGGGCUCAGCCCCGGAACUGCCUUUGAAACUAGAUGACUAGAAUCUUGGGGAAGUCAGUGGAAUUCCGAGUGUAGAGGUGAAAUUCGUAGAUAUUCGGAAGAACACCAGUGGCGAAGGCGACUGACUGGACAAGUAUUGACGCUGAGGUGCGAAAGCGCGGGGAGCAAACAGGAUUAGAGACCCCCGUAGUCCCUGUCUCUUAUAC